Molecule: ribosomal RNA, 465 nt
Filed under: Vreelandella stevensii
Lineage: Bacteria; Pseudomonadati; Pseudomonadota; Gammaproteobacteria; Oceanospirillales; Halomonadaceae
Description: partial 16S ribosomal RNA
Rfam family: Bacterial small subunit ribosomal RNA
Source: RNAcentral
CCUACGGGAGGCAGCAGUGGGGAAUAUUGGACAAUGGGGGCAACCCUGAUCCUGCCAUGCCGCGUGUGUGAAGAAGGCCCUCGGGUUGUAAAGCACUUUCAGUGAGGAAGAACGCCUGGUGGUUAAUACCCAUCAGGAAAGACAUCACUCACAGAAGAAGCACCGGCUAACUCCGUGCCAGCAGCCGCGGUAAUACGGAGGGUGCGAGCGUUAAUCGGAAUUACUGGGCGUAAAGCGCGCGUAGGUGGCUUGAUAAGCCGGUUGUGAAAGCCCCGGGCUCAACCUGGGAACGGCAUCCGGAACUGUCAAGCUAGAGUGCAGGAGAGGAAGGUAGAAUUCCCGGUGUAGCGGUGAAAUGCGUAGAGAUCGGGAGGAAUACCAGUGGCGAAGGCGGCCUUCUGGACUGACACUGACACUGAGGUGCGAAAGCGUGGGUAGCAAACAGGAUUAGAUACCCUAGUAGUC